RNAcentral lists this long non-coding RNA (219 nucleotides) under Mytilus galloprovincialis (Mediterranean mussel). Lineage: Eukaryota; Metazoa; Mollusca; Bivalvia; Mytilida; Mytilidae. The record is from RNAcentral.
GGAUUGAACCUGGUUUUAUAGCUAGCUAAACCUCUCACUUGUAUGACAGUCGCAUCGAAGUCCAUUACAUUGUCAACGAUGCGUGAACAAAACAAACAUACUCAAAGAGUAAAAAUGUCAAAAAUAGGGGUACAGCAGUCAACAUUGUGUUAUCAUCUUAAUCACUAUAAAAACAACAAAUGUAACGAAGAAGCACAAAAGGCAUACAUCAAAUUUAAC